Oryza sativa Indica Group (long-grained rice) is the source of this 204-nucleotide microRNA precursor. It matches the Rfam family "MIR812 microRNA precursor family". Lineage: Eukaryota; Viridiplantae; Streptophyta; Magnoliopsida; Poales; Poaceae. The record is from Rfam.
AAAAAAGGCAAACCUGGGUUUCCGUGCCAACGUUUGACUGUCUGUCUUAUAUGAAAUUUUUUUAUAAUUAGUAUUUUCAUUGUAAUUAGAUGAUACAACAUGAUUAAUACUUUAUGCGUGACUUAUCUUUUACUUUUUUUCAUAAUUUUUUCAAAUAAGAUGAACGGUCAAACAUUAGACACGGAAACCAGGGUUUGUCUUUUU